This 429-nucleotide ribosomal RNA is filed under the name Acidobacteriota bacterium. RNAcentral's name for it is "Acidobacteria bacterium partial 16S ribosomal RNA". It matches the Rfam family "Bacterial small subunit ribosomal RNA", at positions 355 to 776 of the family's 1533-position model. The record is from RNAcentral. Lineage: Bacteria; Pseudomonadati; Acidobacteriota.
UGGGGAAUUUUGGCCAAUGGGGGAAACCCUGCUCCAGCCAUCCCGCGUGUGCGAUGAAGGCCUUCGGGUUGUAAAGCACUUUUGGCAGGAAAGAAACGUCAUGGGUUAAUACCCCGUGAAACUGACGGUACCUGCAGAAUAAGCACCGGCUAACUACGUGCCAGCAGCCGCGGUAAUACGUAGGGUGCAAGCGUUAAUCGGAAUUACUGGGCGUAAAGCGUGCGCAGGCGGUUCGGAAAGAAAGAUGUGAAAUCCCAGAGCUCAACUUUGGAACUGCAUUUUUAACUACCGGGCUAGAGUGUGUCAGAGGGAGGUGGAAUUCCGCGUGUAGCAGUGAAAUGCGUAGAUAUGCGGAGGAACACCGAUGGCGAAGGCAGCCUCCUGGGAUAACACUGACGCUCAUGCACGAAAGCGUGGGGAGCAAACAGG